AACGAACGCUGGCGGCAGGCCUAACACAUGCAAGUCGAGCGCGCCCUUCGGGGUGAGCGGCGGACGGGUGAGUAACGCGUGGGAACGUGCCCUUCUCUGCGGAAUAGCCCCGGGAAACUGAGAGUAAUACCGCAUACGCCCUUUGGGGGAAAGAUUUAUCGGAGAAGGAUCGGCCCGCGUUGGAUUAGGUAGUUGGUGGGGUAAUGGCUCACCAAGCCGACGAUCCAUAGCUGGUUUGAGAGGAUGAUCAGCCACACUGGGACUGAGACACGGCCCAGACUCCUACGGGAGGCAGCAGUAGGGAAUAUUGGACAAUGGGGGCAACCCUGAUCCAGCAAUGCCGCGUGAGUGAUGAAGGCCUUAGGGUUGUAAAGCUCUUUUACCCGGGAUGAUAAUGACAGUACCGGGAGAAUAAGCCCCGGCUAACUCCGUGCCAGCCGCCGCGGUAA
This 449-nucleotide ribosomal RNA is filed under the name uncultured bacterium. RNAcentral describes it as "partial 16S ribosomal RNA". It matches the Rfam family "Bacterial small subunit ribosomal RNA", at positions 29 to 523 of the family's 1533-position model. The record is from RNAcentral.